This 72-nucleotide transfer RNA is filed under the name Crassvirales sp. RNAcentral's name for it is "tRNA-Asp". It matches the Rfam family "tRNA". From Rfam's summary of the family: Transfer RNA (tRNA) molecules are approximately 80 nucleotides in length. Their secondary structure includes four short double-helical elements and three loops (D, anti-codon, and T loops). The record is from RNAcentral. Lineage: Duplodnaviria; Heunggongvirae; Uroviricota; Caudoviricetes; Crassvirales.
GUCUGUGUAGCUUAAUGGUUUAAAGUGCUGGACUGUCAAUCCAGAGAACAGGGUUCAAUUCCCUCACAGACU